Molecule: non-coding RNA, 73 nt
Organism: Paramuricea clavata
Lineage: Eukaryota; Metazoa; Cnidaria; Anthozoa; Malacalcyonacea; Plexauridae
Source: the annotation of a GenBank genome assembly
GACCUCAUAGCUCAGUUGGUAGAGCAUUGGACUAAUAUCUCAAAGGUUGCGGGUUCGAUUCCCACCGUGGUCA